This 407-nucleotide ribosomal RNA is filed under the name uncultured prokaryote. Its description in RNAcentral is "bacterial SSU rRNA". It matches the Rfam family "Bacterial small subunit ribosomal RNA", at positions 355 to 776 of the family's 1533-position model. RNAcentral also lists the same sequence under 1 other name. The record is from RNAcentral.
UGGGGAAUAUUGCGCAAUGGGGGAAACCCUGACCCAGCAACGCCGCGUGAGGGAAGAAGGUCUUCGGAUUGUAAACCUCUGUCCCUGGGGACGAAAAAAAUGACGGUACCCAAGGAGGAAGCUCCGGCUAACUACGUGCCAGCAGCCGCGGUAAUACGUAGGGAGCGAGCGUUGUCCGGAAUUACUGGGCGUAAAGGGUGCGUAGGCGGCAAAGCAAGUCAGAUGUGAAAUCCCCGGGCUUAACUCGGGGGGUGCAUUUGAAACUGCAUUGCUUGAGUGCAGGAGAGGAAAGCGGAAUUCCUAGUGUAGCGGUGAAAUGCGUAGAUAUUAGGAAGAACACCAGUGGCGAAGGCGGCUUUCUGGACUGUAACUGACGCUGAGGCACGAAAGCGUGGGGAGCAAACAGG